Molecule: transfer RNA, 72 nt
Filed under: Fukomys damarensis (Damara mole-rat)
Lineage: Eukaryota; Metazoa; Chordata; Mammalia; Rodentia; Bathyergidae
Rfam family: tRNA
About the family: Transfer RNA (tRNA) molecules are approximately 80 nucleotides in length. Their secondary structure includes four short double-helical elements and three loops (D, anti-codon, and T loops).
Source: Rfam by way of RNAcentral
AAGGGUACAGCUCAGCGGUAGAGCACUUUCCUAGUAUAUAUGAGGCCCUGGGUUCAAUUCCUAGUACCUUUU